UACGUAGGGUGCAAGCGUUGUCCGGAAUUAUUGGGCGUAAAGAGCUCGUAGGCGGCUUGUCGCGUCUGCUGUGAAAACCCGAGGCUCAACCUCGGGCCUGCAGUGGGUACGGGCAAGCUAGAGUGCGGUAGGGGAGAUUGGAAUUCCUGGUGUAGCGGUGGAAUGCGCAGAUAUCAGGAGGAACACCGGUGGCGAAGGCGGGUCUCUGGGCAGUAACUGACGCUGAGGAGCGAAAGCGUGGGGAGCGAACAGG
Molecule: ribosomal RNA, 253 nt
Filed under: uncultured bacterium
Lineage: Bacteria
Description: partial 16S ribosomal RNA
Rfam family: Bacterial small subunit ribosomal RNA
Source: RNAcentral